Molecule: long non-coding RNA, 1803 nt
Organism: Vespula pensylvanica (western yellowjacket)
Lineage: Eukaryota; Metazoa; Arthropoda; Insecta; Hymenoptera; Vespidae
Exons: 2
Source: RefSeq, a predicted model, not a curated record
AAUAUGUAAUUUUAUAAAUGAAUGUAAAGAGAACAGAUAAUUAUUAUUUAAUUGAUAUUAUUACUUUCUGAUUGUAGAAAUAGUAAAGAAAUUAAACGGAUUCUUAGUGAGAGAAACUACAUACUAUAAAAUAUGAUCUUUAGCCAAGGAGAACUUCUAUCGAUCUUUACGGUACUUAACGUACCGGUUCUUCUACGUAAACUGAAGCAACUAACAAAAUUUCUGUUUCUUUUUCAGCACGAUCAUAUAUAACAAACAACAACAAAAAAAUACCGUUUGAUCAUCGACUAAAAAAAAUAAAUGCAAUUAUAUACGCAUAACACUCCUUCUAAAGAAAAAAAUAUUUCCGUGUUUUGUGCUACGUAUGCAGGAUGUCAUAUAUAGAUACAGGAUUGUACAUUCACAUUCGAUUUGCACCAACUGAAACCAUGGUUAAGAAGAUGAAUGUACUUUGAGCGAUGUUACUCAGGAUUCUGUCGGUCUUUCGUGAGAAACAAAGGCAAAAGAAUAAGGCUAGAUUAUGCAUUGACGUAGAUACUUUGCUUUCUUCAGUACUCUGAUCUACAUGAACAGGCAUCAACGAGUCAAGAUAGAAUUCCACGAAAUGUUACAUAGUCAACAAAAUUCAACAAUACAUUUCAAUAUGAGUUAUCAAUAAUUGAUAAAAAUAUUCUAUUGAUUCAAUAAUUUUUCACGCUUCAUAUACGUAUAUCUUUUCAUUUAGAUCUUUACUUGCUAAUAAUCCCUAAUCGUUCAUCGCUAAUAGAAAUAGCCUUCCCUGAUUUACAACGUUGAAUUAAAUCUGUGUAAAAUGCGACCUUGGUUUGCUAUAUGAGCAAACUUUUAUAAUACAAAUUCGUGUUGCAUUACGUGAAAGACUUACUUCUAUGUAUACGUGAGCAAAACGUCUGUAAAAAGCACAUGAAUAAUUUGUAGAACAUUUUUUUUUUAAAUUGUAAUGUAAGGCACGACCCUGGCAAAACACUCUUAUCUUAUCUAAAAGUUACAUUUUUUCACAAGAAAUUAAAAUUACGAAGCGUGCGACGAAAAGUUUGUUUGUACAUCAUCGUAAAGAGAACGAUAAUUAAAAAGAACCGAAUGAAAGCUAACUCGUUGAGAAAACUUGACGCAUUUCCUCCUUUUAAUUCAACUAUCAUGAAUAAAUGGUGUUCGUUUCACACGGUCGCUGCGUCACAGGCUUCGUGAAAUGAAAACCAUAAAGCAUUGAUGUUAAUUUGUUAAUUCCUUAAUAAGUGUUAGUGAGAGAAAAAUGAAAUUAUUUUCCAAGAAUUUCGUUAGAAAACUAAAAUAAAUGAAGCGUGGACCAUCGUUAUCUUCAUCAUAAUCGAGGAACAAAAUCGUCGCUCAUCAAAUUGUUUCAACUAUCGCGUGUCUCGAAAUUGAUCGAGUUUAGAUAUCGUGACCAAUUUAUGGAAACUAAACGCCAGGGUCGACCAAAUGAAAAACUGGAACUUGCGCAACGGCUGAUCGCUAAUGACCCUUUACAAUGGUUUUUACAAGGUCACAAAAGAGACUUGCGUCCAACAUAUCGUACAUGCGAAACUUAGGUAUACGAACUGAUGACUAUAUAAAAUUUAAAAAGCGUCUUAAUUGUUACAGUUUGUUAAUGCAUGACCUAAUGAAAAAUAGUUUCCCUGGAUCAAUAAAAAAAGUUCUUGAACUUAUAUGACUUUCUCAUCGAAGCGUUGCUAAAAUGAUGAUUCCGUGCUCGGCGUAAUCACUGAAAAUAUAUUCAUGUAAACAUUUUAAUGAUUUAAUAUAAAAGAGAAUAUGAUAGUAAUA